AGAGUUUGAUCCUGGCUCAGGAUGAACGCUAGCUACAGGCUUAACACAUGCAAGUCGAGGGGCAGCAUGGUCUUAGCUUGCUAAGGCUGAUGGCGACCGGCGCAUGGGUGAGUAACACGUAUCCAACCUGCCGUCUACUCUUGGCCAGCCUUCUGAAAGGAAGAUUAAUCCAGGAUGGGAUCAUGAGUUCACAUGUCCGCAUGAUUAAAGGUAUUUUCCGGUAGACGAUGGGGAUGCGUUCCAUUAGAUAGUAGGCGGGUAACGGCCACCUAGUCAACGAUGGAUAGGGGUUCUGAGAGGAAGGUCCCCACAUUGGAACUGAGACACGGUCCAAAUCCGUACGGGAGGCA
This 350-nucleotide ribosomal RNA is filed under the name uncultured bacterium. RNAcentral's name for it is "bacterial SSU rRNA". It matches the Rfam family "Bacterial small subunit ribosomal RNA", at positions 8 to 350 of the family's 1533-position model. The record is from RNAcentral.